RNAcentral lists this ribosomal RNA (347 nucleotides) under uncultured bacterium. RNAcentral describes it as "bacterial SSU rRNA". It matches the Rfam family "Bacterial small subunit ribosomal RNA", at positions 32 to 355 of the family's 1533-position model. The record is from RNAcentral.
AAUCAACGCUGGCGGCGUGCCUAACACAUGCAAGUCGAACGCGAAAGCGUCUUCGGACGUGAGUAGAGUGGCGUCCGGGUGAGUAACACGUAGGUAAUCUACCUUCGGGUGGGGAAUAACGCCUCGAAAGAGGCGCUAAUACCGCAUAACGCAGCGGCAGCUAAUGCUGAUUAGUUGUUAAAGCGGGGGACCGAGAGAUCGGCCUCGCGCCUGAAGAGGAGCCUGCGGCAGAUUAGCUAGUUGGCGGGGUAACGGCCCACCAAGGCGACGAUCUGUAGCUGGUCUGAGAGGACGGCCAGCCACACUGGCACUGACACACGGGCCAGACUCCUACGGGAGGCAGCAGU